AGAGUUUGAUUAUGGCUCAGGAUGAACGCUAGCUACAGGCUUAACACAUGCAAGUCGAGGGGCAGCAUAAUCGAAGCUUGCUUGAUUGAUGGCGACCGGCGCACGGGUGAGUAACGCGUAUCCAACCUUCCCCUUAGUAGGGCAUAGCCCGGCGAAAGUCGGAUUAAUACCCUAUGUUAUCCGUCGAGGGCAUCUGAAGUGGAUUAAAGAUUUAUCGCUAAGGGAUGGGGAUGCGUCUGAUUAGGUUGUUGGCGGGUAACGGCCCACCAAGCCUACGAUCAGUAGGGGUUCUGAGAGGAAGGUCCCCCACAUUGGUACUGAGACACGGACCAAACUCCUACGGGAGGCAGCAGUGAGGAAUAUUGGUCAAUGGGCGAGAGCCUGAACCAGCCAAGUAGCGUGCCAGGAUGACGGCCCUAUGGGUUGUAAACUGCUUUUGCAUGGGAAUAAAGUCGGGGACGUGUCCCCGUUUGUAUGUACCAUGAGAAUAAGGACCGGCUAAUUCCGUGCCAGCCGCAGC
This 520-nucleotide ribosomal RNA is filed under the name uncultured bacterium. Its description in RNAcentral is "bacterial SSU rRNA". It matches the Rfam family "Bacterial small subunit ribosomal RNA", at positions 8 to 518 of the family's 1533-position model. The record is from RNAcentral.